GGUGUGACUUUUUUUCCCUUUUUUUUGCCUGGUGCUUUCUCUCCCAUUUUGAUUUCAUCCUUUCCAAACCAGUUUUUCAAAACCCUUAAAAGAUCCUACCUCAACCCUCUGUCGAUCCCUCCCACGCAUCCACCCUUUUUCCACCGCUGCCGCCUUGAAUACCUCAACCCUCCGCCGAUCCCUCCCACGCAUCCACCCUCUUUCCACCGCCGCCGCCUUGAAUAGGUGGAUGCCGGAAAAGGAUCCAUCUUCUUAUAUUUCGGAACAGUGACAUUCCUUGGCUGAGACUACUCAUCCUGUAAUCUUGAGUAGUUUGAUCAAAUAAUUCAUGUGUUUAUAGUCGUCUUUCAAGAAAGUAUAAGAGACAGAAAGAUGGAGCCGGUGAUAGAAAAGUGAACUCCGGGGAAGUUGCGUUGAUUGUAUUGGCGUGUCAACCCUAUGAAUCGGAAGCUUAGAGCACUCUGAGGCUCAGGAUCAUGAUCGUUUGUCUAAUUACGAAAUAGUGGUGGUUCAAUUGAAACCUUAUACAGUCGACAACUAGGGUUCAUGACUUGAAGGUGAUGACAGAGACGUUGAGGGGUAGGUUUCAGGCGAUCGAUGAUGUCAAACGAUGGUCGUAUGGAACAUAUGGUCGGUCGGCUCCGCUGAAAAUAGGGGAAUGCAUUUUGGUCACCUUAUAGUUCAGAGAGUCAAAGGUUGACUAUAUAUUAGGAAAUGGCUCAAUGAAGAUGUCUUAUAUGGUAGGAUAUGGGCACAAACUACCCAAUAAGAGUUCAUCAUAGAGUAACUCACCUGCAAUCAUUUGGAUGUGUAGGAUAUGGCACAAACUACAUGCAAAUGAAAAGAUUUCGUUGGAAAGGAUGGUGAUGAGCCGCCUUGGUUCAUAUUGUUGGCUGGAGAAAGGUUUGCAUGGCCAAAGUUAACUUAACUGGAUGCUAUAGAAAUAGUGAGUCACCUCUUUGUAGAGUAAUUUGUAAGGUUUAAGGUUUGGCCUUUUGUUUGCUUCAACACUGAAUCGUUUGUGUUUGUAUAUAUAUGUUUUAUUUUCGGUUAGAUUUUUUGGUUGUUUGAUAGGCGCCGCAACGCGGCGCGGUCUAAAACCUAUUUUUUUUAAUUAUUGCAAAUCAAUGUAGCCAGUACACAUAAGGUAUAAUGUUGUCAAUUCUGCCUCAUUUGAUCUGCAUUAUUGUUUUUUUUUUUUUUUUUUUUUUUUUGACUCGUUAUGAAUGAUAUAUGGUUUUUUUUUUU
This 1248-nucleotide long non-coding RNA is filed under the name Helianthus annuus (common sunflower). Its description in RNAcentral is "hypothetical non coding rna". Lineage: Eukaryota; Viridiplantae; Streptophyta; Magnoliopsida; Asterales; Asteraceae. The record is from RNAcentral.